AGUCGCGGUUAAACCAAGAUGGCCAAAUUAUAUACAUCCACGGUGAAAAAAUAGUUAAAUUUGAUAAAGUUUAUUGAAUGUUUGUAGAAGAGUAAAAUCUGAACACAAAUAAGAAAUUCUGUUUAAGCUUGCACAUUGAAGCUAUGAAAGCCUCGGGGGAAACUGGGAUUAGAUACCCCACUAUUCUUGGGUAUAAAGUGAUUGCAAUUUACCAGAGUACUAUGAAUUAACAGUUUAAAACUUAAAGGGCUUGGCGGUGUUUUAGACCCCUCAGGGGAACCUGUCUCAUAAUCGACAGUCCACGAAAAACCUGACCCCUUUUUGCAAUCAAUUUGUAUACCGUCGUCGUCAGGUAACUUUUUAGAAAAAAGAAGUUAGCAAUUAAACAGCUACAAGUUUACACGUCAGAUCAAGGUGCAGUUAAUAGAGGGGAGAGGAUGGGUUACAAUUAUAUACUUAUAACUAUGAAAAAACUUUUGAAACAGGGUUAUGAAGGAGGACUUGAAAGUAAGGUGGAAUAUAUAAACGUUCUGAAUCAGGCUCUGAAACGUGCACACAUCGCCC
RNAcentral lists this ribosomal RNA (564 nucleotides) under Spinidrupa euracantha. RNAcentral describes it as "partial 12S ribosomal RNA". It matches the Rfam family "Bacterial small subunit ribosomal RNA", at positions 513 to 1395 of the family's 1533-position model. Lineage: Eukaryota; Metazoa; Mollusca; Gastropoda; Neogastropoda; Muricidae. The record is from RNAcentral.